RNAcentral lists this transfer RNA (77 nucleotides) under Candidatus Melainabacteria bacterium. Its description in RNAcentral is "tRNA-Met". It matches the Rfam family "tRNA". Rfam says of the family: Transfer RNA (tRNA) molecules are approximately 80 nucleotides in length. Their secondary structure includes four short double-helical elements and three loops (D, anti-codon, and T loops). Further hydrogen bonds mediate the characteristic L-shaped molecular structure. tRNAs have two regions of fundamental functional importance: the anti-codon, which is responsible for specific mRNA codon recognition, and the 3' end, to which the tRNAs corresponding amino acid is attached (by aminoacyl-tRNA synthetases). tRNAs cope with the degeneracy of the genetic code in two manners: having more than one tRNA (with a specific anti-codon) for a particular amino acid; and 'wobble' base-pairing, i.e. permitting non-standard base-pairing at the 3rd anti-codon position. RNAcentral also lists the same sequence under 2 other names. Lineage: Bacteria; Bacillati; Candidatus Melainabacteria. The record is from RNAcentral.
AGCAGGGUAGAGCAGCGGCUGUGCUCGUCGGCCUCAUAAGCCGAAGAUCGUGGGUUCGAAUCCCAUCCUUGCCACCA